ACGAAGGGGGCUAGCGUUGUUCGGAAUUACUGGGCGUAAAGCGCGCGUAGGCGGUUUAGUAAGUUGGAUGUGAAAUCCCUAGGCUCAACCUAGGAAUUGCAUUCAAGACUGCUGAGCUAGAUGCCUGGAGAGGAGAGUGGAAUUCCCAGUGUAGAGGUGAAAUUCGUAGAUAUUAGGAGGAACACCAGUGGCGAAGGCGACUGUCUGGACCGGUUCUGACGCUCAUGCACGAAAGCGUGGGGAGCAAACAGGA
This 253-nucleotide ribosomal RNA is filed under the name uncultured prokaryote. RNAcentral's name for it is "partial 16S ribosomal RNA". It matches the Rfam family "Bacterial small subunit ribosomal RNA", at positions 525 to 777 of the family's 1533-position model. The record is from RNAcentral.